UGAGACUGUGCAGCCCUCUGUGCGCAGCACAGAUGAAAGGUCAAUGCCCCUACGUGCACAAAGUGAGACCAUGCACCCCUUGGCGACCAGCAUGGAGGAGAGACCACUGCCCCGGCGUUCUCGAAGUGAGACUGUACAGCCUGUUGUUCCCACCAUAGAGGAAAGACCAAUGCCCCUACAUGAAUUCCAACGUCAAGUGCUCCGUAUGCUAAACAUUA
Long non-coding RNA from Ornithodoros turicata, 218 nucleotides. RefSeq lists it as uncharacterized. The transcript has 4 exons. The record is from RefSeq and is a predicted model, not a curated record. NCBI's taxonomy places the organism in Eukaryota, Metazoa, Arthropoda, Arachnida, Ixodida, Argasidae.